AAAUAGGCGCGUUAAGGAUUGAAAUGGAAAUCCUUUUUUAUUUUUUUAAAUAAAAAAGAUUGCAAUGUAAAGCCUGACCUGUA
This 83-nucleotide small RNA is filed under the name Polaribacter sp. KT25b. RNAcentral's name for it is "Flavo-1 RNA". It matches the Rfam family "Flavo-1 RNA". The record is from Rfam by way of RNAcentral. Lineage: Bacteria; Pseudomonadati; Bacteroidota; Flavobacteriia; Flavobacteriales; Flavobacteriaceae.